GCAGAGCCUAUCUCUCGUACCUUUUGCAUCAUGAUUCAGCAAGUUUACUCAAGCGAAGAGCACUCUAGUUUGCACUCCCGAAACUUGACGAGCUACUCCAAGACAGCCAACCAUGGGCUAACCCGUCUCUGUGGCAAAAGAGUGGGAAGAUCUUCGAGUAGAGGCAAAAAACCUACCGAGCCAAGUUAUAGCUGGUUGCCCAAUAAAUGAAUACAAGUUCAGCCCUGUCUAGCCCAACUCACGCCAGUUUUACAAAGAAAGACGAAGAGCUUGCCGACAGGAGUUAAUCAGAGGAGGUACAGCUCCCCUGAUACAGGACACAACCUUUUUAGGAGGUAAAAGAGUAUUAUCAAACAAGGCCUUGAGUCUCAGUGGGCCUGAAAGCAGCCAUCUGAUGUGAAAGCGUUAAAGCUCCGACCUAAAAGAAGCCUAUUAUUAGAUCUUAAUUUCUGUUCCCCUAAACCUUAUUGAGCCUUUUCAUGCACCCAUGGAAGAGACUAUGCUGAAACGAGUAACAAGAAGAAUGAACUUCUCCACGCACAAGUGUAUGUCAAAUUGGACCAACCAUUGACAAUCAACGAACCCAGCAAAAGAGGGCCUUACCCACCCGUCACUUCUGACCAAGAAAAUCACGUUAUCCGGAGUCGUUACCCCAACACAGGAGUGCUAGAACAAGGAAAGACUUAAAGAAAAAAAAGGAACUCGGCAAACCCAGACCUCGCCUGUUUACCAAAAACAUCGCCUCUUGCACCCCAAAGUAUAAGAGGUCCCACCU
RNAcentral lists this ribosomal RNA (775 nucleotides) under Anchoa lamprotaenia (big-eye anchovy). RNAcentral describes it as "partial 16S ribosomal RNA". It matches the Rfam family "Bacterial large subunit ribosomal RNA", at positions 585 to 1860 of the family's 2925-position model. The record is from RNAcentral. Lineage: Eukaryota; Metazoa; Chordata; Actinopteri; Clupeiformes; Engraulidae.